AACAAAUGCAUUAAAAAUCUAUGCUGUUCAAACUCUUCUCAAAAAUAGAGGCACAAUCCAUUUCGUAUCCUUGAACGUCGCUCAAUUUUGAAAUAACAACCAUACGGCAAUUCUCCAUCAGACUUUUUAACCGUAUAGUAUCUGUAGUAGAAAGAUUUCCCGAUUGUAUGAGCCUUAAGCAAAGAGAAUCCAGUAGGGAA
This is a non-coding RNA of Schizosaccharomyces pombe (fission yeast), 200 nucleotides long. The record is from the annotation of a GenBank genome assembly. Lineage: Eukaryota; Fungi; Ascomycota; Schizosaccharomycetes; Schizosaccharomycetales; Schizosaccharomycetaceae.